CAGUCGCCGCGGUAACACAGAGGUCCCGAGCGUUGUUCGGAUUCAUUGGGCGUAAAGGGUGUGUAGGAGGCCAGGUAAGUCAGGUGUGAAAUCUCAGAGCUUAACUCUGAAACUGCGCUUGAUACUGCUUGGCUAGAGGAUCGGAGGGGGUAACGGAAUUUAUGGUGUAGCAGUGAAAUGCGUAGAUAUCAUAAGGAACACCGGUGGCGAAGGCGGUUACCUGGAAGAUUCCUGACUCUGAAACACGAAAGCCAGGGGAGCAAACGGGAUUAGAGACCCGAGUAGUCCCUGUCUCUUAUAC
This 301-nucleotide ribosomal RNA is filed under the name uncultured bacterium. RNAcentral's name for it is "partial 16S ribosomal RNA". It matches the Rfam family "Bacterial small subunit ribosomal RNA", at positions 509 to 807 of the family's 1533-position model. The record is from RNAcentral.